GAUGAACGCUGGCGGCGUGCCUAAUACAUGCAAGUCGAGCGAACAGAUGAGGAGCUUGCUCCUCUGACGUUAGCGGCGGACGGGUGAGUAACACGUGGAUAACCUACCUAUAAGACUGGGAUAACUUCGGGAAACCGGAGCUAAUACCGGAUAAUAUAUUGAACCGCAUGGUUCAAUAGUGAAAGACGGUUUUGCUGUCACUUAUAGAUGGAUCCGCGCCGCAUUAGCUAGUUGGUAAGGUAACGGCUUACCAAGGCAACGAUGCGUAGCCGACCUGAGAGGGAGAGGGGGCAGAAUGGAAGAGUGACACGGAGCGGGCUACACCGUGAGGCAGCAGUAGGGAAUGAUCGGCGAUGGGCGAAAGACUGAAGGAGCAAAGCAGCAUGAAUGAUGAAGGGCUUAGGAUAGUAAAAAUCUGUUAAUAGGGAAUAAAAAAAGUGUAAGGAAUAAUGACCGUCUUGACGGUACCUAAUCAGGAAGCGACGGCUAACUACG
This 495-nucleotide ribosomal RNA is filed under the name uncultured bacterium. RNAcentral describes it as "partial 16S ribosomal RNA". It matches the Rfam family "Bacterial small subunit ribosomal RNA", at positions 28 to 505 of the family's 1533-position model. The record is from RNAcentral.